UGGGGAAUAUUGGACAAUGGGGGAAACCCUGAUCCAGCCAUGCCGCGUGUGUGAAGAAGGCCUUAUGGUUGUAAAGCACUUUAAGCGAGGAGGAGGCUACUGAGACUAAUACUCUUGGAUAGUGGACGUUACUCGCAGAAUAAGCACCGGCUAACUCUGUGCCAGCAGCCGCGGUAAUACAGAGGGUGCGAGCGUUAAUAGGAUUUACUGGGCGUAAAGCGUGCGUAGGCGGCUUUUUAAGUCGGAUGUGAAAUCCCCGAGCUUAACUUGGGAAUUGCAUUCGAUACUGGGAAGCUAGAGUAUGGGAGAGGAUGGUGGAAUUCCAGGUGUAGCGGUGAAAUGCGUAGAGAUCUGGAGGAAUACCGAUGGCGAAGGCAGCCAUCUGGCCUAAUACUGACGCUGAGGUACGAAAGCAUGGGGAGCAAAACAGGAUUAGAUACCCUGGUAGUCCAUGCCGUAAAACGAUGUCUACUAGCCGUUGGGGCCUUUGAGGCUUUAGUGNGCAGCUAACGCGAUAAGUAGACCGCCUGGGGAGUACGGUC
RNAcentral lists this ribosomal RNA (542 nucleotides) under uncultured bacterium. Its description in RNAcentral is "partial 16S ribosomal RNA". It matches the Rfam family "Bacterial small subunit ribosomal RNA", at positions 355 to 887 of the family's 1533-position model. The record is from RNAcentral.